Molecule: ribosomal RNA, 423 nt
Filed under: Salmonella enterica
Lineage: Bacteria; Pseudomonadati; Pseudomonadota; Gammaproteobacteria; Enterobacterales; Enterobacteriaceae
Description: bacterial SSU rRNA
Rfam family: Bacterial small subunit ribosomal RNA
Source: RNAcentral
AAAUUGAAGAGUUUGAUCAUGGCUCAGAUUGAACGCUGGCGGCAGGCCUAACACAUGCAAGUCGAACGGUAGCACAGAGAGCUUGCUCUCGGGUGACGAGUGGCGGACGGGUGAGUAAUGUCUGGGAAACUGCCUGAUGGAGGGGGAUAACUACUGGAAACGGUGGCUAAUACCGCAUAACGUCGCAAGACCAAAGAGGGGGACCUUCGGGCCUCUUGCCAUCAGAUGUGCCCAGAUGGGAUUAGCUUGUUGGUGAGGUAACGGCUCACCAAGGCGACGAUCCCUAGCUGGUCUGAGAGGAUGACCAGCCACACUGGAACUGAGACACGGUCCAGACUCCUACGGGAGGCAGCAGUGGGGAAUAUUGCACAAUGGGCGCAAGCCUGAUGCAGCCAUGCCGCGUGUAUGAAGAAGGCCUUCGGG